GACGAACGCUGGCGGCGUGCUUAACACAUGCAAGUCGAACGGAAAGGCCCUGCUUUUGUGGGGUGCUCGAGUGGCGAACGGGUGAGUAACACGUGAGUAACCUGCCCUUGACUUUGGGAUAACUUCAGGAAACUGGGGCUAUACCGGAAAGGAGCUCCUGCUGCAUGGUGGGGGUUGGAAAGUUUCGGCGGUUGGGGAUGGACUCGCGGCUUAUCAGCUUGUUGGUGGGGUAGUGGCUUACCAAGGCUUUGACGGGUAGCCGGCCUGAGAGGGUGACCGGCCACAUUGGGACUGAGAUACGGCCCAGACUCCUACGGGAGGCAGCAGUGGGGAAUAUUGCACAAUGGGCGGAAGCCUGAUGCAGCAACGCCGCGUGCGGGAUGACGGCCUUCGGGUUGUAAACCGCUUUCGCCUGUGACGAAGCGUGAGUGACGGUAAUGGGUAAAGAAGCACCGGCUAACUACGUG
This 467-nucleotide ribosomal RNA is filed under the name uncultured bacterium. RNAcentral describes it as "partial 16S ribosomal RNA". It matches the Rfam family "Bacterial small subunit ribosomal RNA", at positions 28 to 507 of the family's 1533-position model. The record is from RNAcentral.